CCCUUUUACACGACAUCGUGAGGUCAGUGAAGGAUGACAAUAUACGACAAGGAAUUGACAGAUAUCUGUCGAAACCUGUAUUUUUCUUAAUCAGUGGUUACGCAAAGGAUAAUGGCAUUGUGAUGACAAGCUCACCGCGGUUUGAGGUAUACGAGUGUGAAUUUGGAUUGGGCAAGCCGGCCGGUGUUCUGGUGGGAGGCGCAAAUAUGUUUGACGGGAAGGUAACAUCUUUUCCGGGAAGGGAAGGACAUGGGAGCAUGGAUAUGGUAAUUUGUCUCUCGUCGGAGACGAUGGUGAAACUUGAGGGUGAUUUGGAGUUUCUGAAAUUUAUAGAAGUGAUUUAGAUUUACCGAGGUAAUUUAUAUAAAUACCCUCUAUAUAUGAUUAUAUUUAUAUAGAUAUUAAAUUAACAUUUGUGAUUUGACCAGUUGCCAUAAUAGGGCACAUUUAUGACCCGUUAUGGCGUAGGCUGGCGGCGAAUAACGGUCGUAAAUCGACGAUUCAGGUAUGGAAAUCGCCUAUUUAGGGGCAAACUCUCCGAGUUUUAAUGGGCGAGAUGUGCAGUCUACCAUAUUGCCGAUCUGGACCCUAACUCAGCGAUUUACCCCAAAGUCGGCGAUUUAGUAGUCUAAUCGCGAUUUACGGGUUAACUCUGCGAUUUAACGAUGAGCCUGUUCCGUACUGUGGGAGCCUUCCGGGGGUCCGGCAUAAAGUGACGGAACCCUAGUCCUUGUUGAAAGGCGUUGCUGGGAGUGACUGGUGUAAUCAGGUAUGUCUCACCAGUACUCCCCCCUAAAGAGAGCACAAGAGACAUGCGUGUAUCGCCAGGAAUCAAAUGAUUCAACAAUAUUAAAAGGUCCGACAUUAUAUAGGAGACUGCUUGUUGGAAAAUUGAUUUACUUAUUAAUCGCUAGAGUUGAUAUAACUCAUGCAGUUACAAGUUUGAGUCAAUAUAUACAACAACCAAGGCAAAUGCAUAUGGAUGCAAAACUAAAAGUACUCAGAUACCUAAAAGGUACCCUUGGAAGAGGGUUGAUGUAUAGACAUGAUAAUAAAAUCGAGAUUGUUGCUCAUUGCGACGCAGAUUGGGUAGCAUGCACUAAAACAAGAAGAUUAAUAACAGGAUACUGCGUUUCAUUGAGAAUGUCAUUGGUCUCAUAGAAAUCAAAGAAACAAUCAGUAGUACCAAGAUCAUCUGCAGAGGCAGAAUAUAGGUCAAAGGCGCAUGCAAUAGCCGAGUUAACAUUCAUUCAAUAUUUGUUACAUAAAUUUAAAGUGAAACCUACAGAUGGAGCAAUCUUACAUUGUGACAACGUUUCAGCUAUACACAUAGCAAACAAUCCAAUAUUCUAUGAAAGGACCAAACAUAUAGAGAUUGACUGUCAUUUCAUUAGAGAAAAAAUACAGUCAGGAUCAAUGUGUUUGACCUUCAUUGGAACAAGUAACCAACCAACAGAUUUAUUGACAAAACCACUAGGAGAAAAGGAAAUAACCAAGUUUCUGGUCAAGUUGGAUGUCUCAUAUCCAUACUCUCCAACUUGAGGGGGGUGUUAAGAUUAGUUGGUUUUUGCAGGUAUAAUACAAUUGGAGUCGAGAAAGGGGGGGAAAUCUUCAAGUUGUAGUUCCAGUCCAGAUGGCUAACCCAAGAAUAGUUUAGCCUAAUUUUUAUAUUAAUAGUUAAUGGUUAAUCAUCAUUUGUUGUAAUAUUAGGCCAAAAGGACCAGAUUACUUUUAACUAAAGGGCCAACCCACAACUUAUUCAAUCUUAAUAUAAAAAGAGGGAGUCAUCGAUUUUAGACUCCCACAUACUGUUUGAUCACUUCACUUCUUCCCUUCUGACCGUUCCUCUCCUUCAAACUUCCGCAAACCCUAAUAGGGUUUUUCAAGUAUUAAUGAUUUAAAAUCUAAUAAAUGUAUUGAAUGUCCUUUUGAAAAAAUUACCAUUUAAAAAUAGAGAAAUCUACAAUAAAGUUUCUCUAGAGCCUAGAGGUUAUACAUAUGGAUGUUUGGAAACCAACUCCAAUCACCUCAACCUAUAGAUAUAAGUAUUAUUUACUCAUCAUAGAUGAGUUCUCUAGAUUUACAUGACUAUACUCUUUGGAAACUAAAGAUCAAGUUUUUAGUUGCAUUAAAGAGUUUCAAUUUAUGAUUGAAAAAUCUUUAGAUUCUUCAAUCAAAUCUAUACAACCCGACUUUGGUGGAAAGUUUCAAAAUUCUUUGUUUAAAUCACACUGCAAAUUAAAUAAGAUUAAUCAUAGGUUUUCUUCUCCCUACACACCAAAGCAAAAUAGUUUGGUGGAAAUUAAAUAAUCAUGGUCGGGCACAUUGUUUCCAUUGUCAGGUAUUUUUUUCUCUAAUCAGUGGUUCCUAAAAAGUAUUGGCUAGAAGUUUGUCUAACCUUUGUACGUCUAUAAAUCAAAUAGCACAUUCGUGAAAGAAUAAAAACCCAUGACAUCACAUCUAGUUGCAACUAAAAGGAUUUUAAGAUACAUCAAGCAUACUCUCAUGGUUCCUUAUAGUCACUCACGUUAUCACAUGGAUGGUCAACAUCUGCAUCAAUCAUCGAGCCGUCAGCAAUCCGUCUCUAACUUUAAAGUUUUGUACGACCUUUCAAAUAAAUACCCAAAUUUUUUUAUUAGAAAAUAAGCAAAAUAAUUCGAGUGAGAUUCAACAUGUCUGCAAAGCAAGUAUUCAAAAUCUCAGAAUGCCAGAUCCAGCCAAAGAGUCGACCGGAUUCUUCUCCGAAGAGGUACGAAUUAUCAUCGUGGGACUUGCCGAUGAUCCCCAUCGGACCUAUCCAAAAAGGCCUCCUCUUCCAUAUCUCGUCGGAAAUCUUACCGCAGCAACUCAAUCCGAUCAUCGACAAACUCAAGAGCUCUCUUUCCAUUGUUCUCUCUCACUUCCUUCCCCUAUCCGGCCGUCUCGUCACCGAAACCGUCGAAGGCGGGGGGCUCUUCACGUUUAUACGAUGCGGGGAUGAGGAUACCGGAGCUGGGUUUCACCGAGCGGUUGCAGAUAAGAUUUCUGUUGCUGAUGUACUCAACUCCCGUUACUCUCCCACCUACGUUCGGUGAGGAAUUUGUGGUUAUUUGCAAACACGUCCCUGGAUAAUGGAUAUGAUUUUGUGAUAAUUAAUCCUUUAUUUUUAUGUAAUAAUAUGUAAUUUACAGAGAUUUCUUUCCUUACAACGGGAUGAUUAAUCACGAAGGUCAUCACCUUCCUCUGCUUGCGGUUCAGGUCACGGAGUUAAUCGACGGGAUAUUCCUCGGAUGUACGGUAAACCAUAUUCUCUGCGACGGAACUUCGUUUUGGAACUUCAUGAGGACGUGGUCCGAUGUCGUCUCCGGUAAACUCUUCUUUUCCGAUGACCAAAAACGCCCUUUACUGAUUCAUAACACAUCAUCGCCGAUCAAGUUGCCAUUCCAGAAUCUGGAUACCCUCAUCGAUAAAUCAGAAUCUUCUGUGCCGGAUCUUCAAGAUAAAAUCUUCCAUUUCUCGCCGGCCUCUAUUGCGCGACUUAAAAAACAAGUCAAUUCUGAGAUCGUCACCGUGGACAUAGAGACUGACAAUCGGAAAUCUAAAGCACCAGUGAUCUCAUCUCUCCUAUCCGUAUCUGCGUUAAUCUGGAGAUCGAUCACAAGAGCUCGGUGUUUACCAAAGACUGAACUGGUAAGUUUUAAACUGGCGUGCAAUUACCGGUCAAGAAUGUUACCUCCACUUCCGCCGACAUACUUCGGAAACUGCAUCGGAGCAGUCUCCACCGUCCCCAUCCCUUCCGGCGAUCUUCUCGCACGAAACCUUGGACAGACGGCUUCCCUAUUACACGGCAUCGUGAGUUCGGUGAAGGAUGACGUUAUAAUACGGAAAGAAAUCGACAGAUAUGUGUCGGAACCUGUAUUUUUCUCAAUCAGUGGCUUCGCAAAGAACAAUGGUGUUGGGAUGACAAGUUCACCGCGGUUUGAGGUAUACGAGUGUGAGUUUGGAUUGGGAAAGCCGUUCGGAGUAAUGAUCGGAGGCGCUAAUAUCUAUGACGGGAAGGUGACAUCUUUUCCCGGAAGAGAAGGACAUGGGAGCAUGGAUAUGGUUAUUUGUCUCUCGCCGGAGACGAUGGCGAAACUUGAGGGUGAUUUGGAGUUUCUGAACUUUAUAGAAGUGAUUUAGAUUUACCGAGGUAAUUUAUAUAAAUACCCUUUAUAUAUGAUUAUGUAGAUAUUAAACUAACAUUUGUGAUUUGACCAGUUAUUUCCCAUUAACCCGUAUCAGGUUAGACAGGUUUUCAUAAGAACCUAUAUUCAUCACGUCUGUCCGUCUUCCAGAAGAAUGAGGGCCGUCGAUUUCAACUAGUAGCAACCGGUAGACGGUUGUAGUAGUUCCCAAUGUAUUGCAACCUGUUAAAUAAAAAAAACAAAAUAAUUACUGACAUUGAUUUAGUAGUAUUGACUAGAAUUAAAUGUCAUAGCUUCGAUUGUUUUGAUUAGUCAUUGAUAAUCUCUACAGAUGAGAUGUAGAACAAUUAUAAUAGAGACACAUAAUAUAUCAUCGGAUAAAUUUUAAGUGAAAAUAUACAAAAUAAGAUUCAAACUCUGAAACUAAAAAAUCUUAAUAAUUUCUAAGAUCAAUGAGUCAACCUUAUUUUGUCUCCCAACCGUUUUUCACACUCAGAAACCUCAAAAUUCUUCACACUCUCACUUCUACCCUAUUAUUUCCCUCCCAACCGUUCUUCCUCACCCUCGACCCCUCGAUGACCGUUACUCUCAACCCAUCGAUUUAAUACAGUGCAACUGUCUGACGGUUUUAUUUCUCUCACUAGUCGCGUCUUCGGCUCUCUAUUGCAGCUAUUUCGAAACCCAUUUUUUUGUUAUAAACAAGUAUGUUAUGUAUAAAAUUUUAUGGGUUUACCCUAUUAUCAUCUUCAUUUUGUUUCUUUAUUCCGACAGUUACUUCCAUUCCACAACCGUUUUCUUUUUCAAAAACCCUGGUUGUUGCUAUAAAAAGGUAUUGUGGUUCUAAAAAUAUUUGGGUUCAUCAUCGUCACUCAUUGCUUCUUUUUCUUCUCGUUAUUGUAAAGUUUUUGUUAAGGAUUUUAUUUUCGUGUUUAUUUCAUACGCGUGGAUGUUUUUUUGGCAUUGUUUUUGUAUUUUGUUUACAACAUUUCCUAUUUUAUCAAUUUGUGGGUUUCUCUGUUUUUCUCUGUAGACUGUGGGUUUCUUUGUUUUAUUCAUUUUCUUUUAAACAAUCUGAUGAAGGUGGAACCUGAUCAGAUCUGGUUUCAAAUCGACUUUCUGGGAUCGACUUUCUUAGAGAUCGACGUUGUCCAAAUCGACUUUUUGUCCAGUUCGACUUCUGAGAAAGUAGAUCUCUGGGAAAGUCGACCUUCCCAUGAGUUAACUUGGGACCUCCCCAAACCUAUAUGGGUAUCUCAAUUCAUUUCGGGCUAUCCGAACCUCUAGUUGCUGGUGCGUUGUGACCAAGUUCGGAAUACUGUAUCAUAACAAUCUUUGAUUUUUUAUUUGUUAUAGUUCUGUUAGAAAAUGUCUUCAUCUAGUUCUGAUGAUGCUCCAAAGAAAAAACUUGUAUAAGUUCAAAAAAUUCUCAGCCUCGCGUUGUAUCAUUCACCUCUGAUGGUAAUUUUUUUUAAAUAAAUAUAUUUUAUUCAAGUCUGUGAUUUUAGUAUGUAUUAUGAUUGCUAGUAAGGAUAUGGUGCUAUUCAGAACGCAAUAUGGAUUUGUCACUUAUCCAAAUCAAUUUAUUUUAUCUGGGUUAGAUUUCAAUAUUAUAAAAUAUUUGUUUUGAAUAUCUCCCAUGUUAGUUUGUCAAUUUUAUUUAAUCCAUGUUAGUGUUCAUGAGAAGAGACAGUUUGAUCAAAAUUAAUAGAGUACGCAUUGUGUUUUCUAUUUCCUUUUGCAAUAAUCUUAUUUUCGGAGUUUGUGAUUCUGCACAACUGUUUUCCGAAUUUAACUAUAUAACCUAUAUCACACAACUGACUUAUGUUAAUUAGGUUGUGUUUUAAACCUUCUACUAAAUAUACAUUUUUAAGAAAAUGAUUAUUUACACUACCUACUGUACCCAUUCCUAAUAUGGUACCUGUUUUGUCAUCUGCGAAGAUGACAGUUUUCCCCUUGGGAACUGAAACUAUAUCUCUUAACAGACUUCUGUUUCCAGUCAUGUGACGUGUGCAUCCACUGUCGAAUAGCCGUUUGGACAUAUGAUUGACCUGUGGAUAAGAGAAUGGUUUUUCCUUAGACACCCAUAUUUUUGGGUCUUAAAUGAUUAACAGAAAUAUUCUUAAAAUGUUGCAGUUCUUCCUUAGACACCCAUAUCUCUUUUAUACUCAUUUUGUUAUUGGGAGAAAUCUUUUUAUGUUUAACCUGAGUGUCUUUGUGUGUGGAUUCUCGCACAAAAUAUUUAUUGUAUGAUACAGAAGUGUUUGGAGAAGGAGAUUCAUGUUCAAAACCUAAACCGAACUUUCUUAGUCCAGUGUUGGAUUUUUUAAUCAUGUCAUCAAGCAUCUUGGAACUAUAUGUGAAUUUUGAAAUAUCUUGUUUAUAUUCACAUAUUUUUCUUUCUAAUAUUUCUAUAUGAAAUGCUUGUGAGUUAAUGUUUACUAGCAGAUCUUUUUCGAGUGUCUGACAUUUCUCUUUAUCUUUAUAUCCUAAAAUCGUUUCAUCUUGUUUAACUUAUUUCCUUGUUAAUGAUUCUAGUUUUGUUUCCAGAUUCAGAUUCAUUUCUUUUAGACGUUCUAUUUGAUCUAGAUCUUUUAAAUGUGUGGAAGAAGGAUUCUUCCCUGGUCUCAGCAUGAUCUAAGAGGAUUAAAUUAUGCUCCUUUAGUUGUUCUACAACUUUUUCUCUAGAUUUUAAUUUUUUUGUUAAAUCAGUGUUUUCAAGCCUAAGUUUUUAGUUCAUGAUUAUCAGACGAAUUAGUAUUUUGCAUGCAUUUUUCUUGUAUAGACUUACCUAAUUCCUUUUCUGAUUCAUACCUAGAUACUAGCUCUAAAUAAGACGUUUCUAGUUCUUGAUAAUCAUAAAAACUUACCUGGGUGUCUGAGUCGUUGGCCAUCAGACAUCCAUCAACUUCAGAGUCUUCAUCAGUAUCAGACCAGCUGAUUUGAUGAGCAGUAUCCCUAGACUUUGGAUAGUUAUAUCUUGUGUGUCCAGUUUUGUUACAUCUGUAACAUAUUACUUCCUUUUGUUUUUCUGCUUCCUUCUAUUUAGAUUGGUCUGGCCUGUGUGGCUUGUAAUGUGAACUGCUCGCUUUAGAUUCUUUCCUUUUCUUGAUCAGCUUAUAUAGUUUGGCAGUGAUAAGUGCAAGCUCAUCUUCAUCAGAUUAUGCCAUCAGGUUCCCAACUAACUCCACUACACGAAGCUUGUUCAAGUCGUGGGCUUCUUGGAUGACAUUUCUUUUCGAAUCAUAUUUGUCAGGAAGGCUUUUUAGAAUUUUUCCAACUUGAUUCUUUUCGCUGAUAGGCUCACCCAUACCAGCUAGAUCGUUGACGAUGUUGAUGAGACUUUUGUUCAUCUCAAAAAUAGUUUCUCCUUCUUUCAUAGUGAAGUUCUCAUAUUCCCUAUGAACAUGUAGAAGUUUGUUCUCCUUCACAUGAGAUGUGCCUUCAUGAAUGGUUUCCAACUGUUUCCAGAUGUCAUGAGUUAUGUCGAACCCUCGGAUGGAACUGUACUCAGAUUCAUCUAAUGCCCUAUAAAGUGCAUUCAUUGCCUUUGCGUUGAAUCUGCACAUUUGUUUGCCGAGAAUGGUCCAUUCGACUUCUUUUGUAGUUGGAGGCUCAUAUUCUUCAUGAAUGACUCUCCAUCUCACUGUGUAGCGAGACAUCAGAUGUAUUCUCAUUUUUUUCUUCCAAAAUUCAUGCCUGGUUCCAUCGAAGAUCGGAGGUUUGUUUGAUGUAAAACCCUGAUAUCCUUGUUCUUCUUGUGCCAUGUUAGAAACAGAUGUGAAACUGUUAAUAACCUACUUGGCUCUGAUACCACUUGUAGGAUCUUGAUCAGAGGCUUGGGGGGGGGGGUAAUAGCCUCUUUUCGUGAUUUCUCAGAAGAUUUGCGGAAUACCUGAGAAUAUAAGUUAGAGACAAGGAUAUAUAUAAAGGUUGUCUGUUCUUUGUAAGUUUACCGCAAUAUACAAAUACUGAGUCCACUUAUAAGAUUGUGGUUUUUAUAUAACUGUAGUAUAUGAAUAUUAAAUUAUAUAGACACACGUUUAAGAGCAAGCAAACAGAUGACUAAGUAUAUAUUCUAACUUGAUAAAAACUGCUUUUUAACCUAACUGUAGUAUAUGAAUACCAAGUUCUCUUAUUAGCGAAUAAAUAAUAUAAGUUAAAAUAUAUAAGUAUAUGUGACUAGGUAACUGGAUAUGUAUAUUUGUCUAAUAAUAACCUCAGUCAAAUACCAGAUAACUGGAUGAGGGAUUUGUAGGAAAAUAGUCAACCUCAAUCUAUGACCAUAUAACUAGAUGAGGGAUCUCUUUUUAGUUGUUUUUUAUCUUGUUAAACUUUUAAAAAUAGAAAAGCGGAAAGUAAAGGAGACAUAAAGAUUUUUAUACUGGUUCACCCAAACAAGGACUAAUCCAGUUCCGAUGAAACACGGAGGUCACUAGCCUGAAGGUAAUGACAAAACUUCUGCCAAAUUUUAAGGCUAAACGCCUGUGAACCACCUAAGAGUAUUCAAGAACUUUUAAAAACCUCUGCCAAGCUUUAAGGCUAAACAUUUGUGAACCCUCUAAGAGUAUUAAGGGACUCUUAAAAACCUCUGCCAAGCUUUAAGACUAAAUGCUUGUGAACCCUCUAAGAGUAUUAAGGAACUCUUAAAAAACCUUGAACCUUUAAGGCAGAUUCAACCUAAGAGUUUUCCUAGAAACUCUAUAGAACCACACCGAGUUUUAUGGUUGAAUUCGUUGAAUCUUUCAAAUGUUGAUGUUGAGACGCACCUCUUACAACACUUGGACUACUUACAAGAUGUAGAGUUUUUUCUUCUAACACACUUUCAACAUACACAAGAGGGGAAGAAGAAGAAGUUGAAGAACUAGAACACACAACCUUGAGAGCAACUUUCACACAAAGCUUGAACAAGAGCUAAAGCUUGAGCAAGAGCAAGUGAGUAAGAAAGUAGAGUUUUGAUCCAAAGAGAGCUUUGACAAGAAUGGCAAGUGAUGGCUUUAGCUCUUGGGUGUGCACCUCCUUUUAUAGUAGACGUUGGAGACAUGAAGGUAAUUUCUUCAACUCUUAAACACCUAGGAAGAAGAGAUUAAAAAACCUUCAUUGAAUACUCCAUUGGCGAUUUUCAUUGGUAGAGAGCUUCACUUGAAUUUGAAUUUUCAUCUUGGGAUUUUGUGUAGCAUUAAAUCCAAGAUCUUGAUUGGAUUUGAUCUUGGGAGAUUGAGCCCUCACACGUUUUCCACUCUCCAUUUUUGAACUCUUUAUCUAGGAUUUUGUGUAGUAUUGAAUCUAAGAUCCUUGUAGUUAAUAUGUUGGAUAUGCUAUUGGAAUCUUUAUCAUGAUUGCACUUCUACACGUUUUUUACAUCUUGGGUCCAUUUGAAGCUUGAAUGAAUAGUUGUAGUUCUCACACCUUGUUGAUUAACCUUUAAGACAUUAAUCAACUUAAAACAUGAGUUAAUGUAAGCAAGUAAGUGUGCAUAAUUAAAUCCAAGCUUCAAUAAUUAACUUGAUUAAUAAUAGAGAUUUGUUUGAUGAAAAUAAUUAAGACUAAUCUCAUUUUAGUUUAAUCAAAUAUCAAGUCAAUUUUAUCUACAUGAGUUCAAUAGAUUUAUCUAUGUAACUUUAACUCAUAUAUUUUUCUGUAAAUAAAAUUAAUUAACAACUAAAUAUGUCAUUGAGAAUUUUAUUUCUACAAUACUAUCUCUUGAGGGGGAGUAUCACGAACUCUCCUCGACAUUUCUGUCGCUCCGACCGGAUGUCGUCACAUCUCGGGGGGUAGUAUCACAGAUUCUCUCUGGCACUUCUGUCGCUUCGGUCAGAAAUUGUCACGUUUUAUCCAGGUACUCAAGGGGAGAGUAUCACAAACUCUCCCCGACACUUCUGUCGCUCCGGCCGGAAGUUGUUGAAUAUGAGCACGGUAAAUCUGUCGCUUUAGCCAGAUUUACUGAGAAUUUAUUCGAACAAAAGGAAGAGCCGGAAGUUAUUGAAUAUGAGCACGGUAAAUCUGUCGCUUUGGUCAGAUUUACUGAGGAUUUAUUCGAACAAAAGGAAGAGUAACACGAAAGGUAACAUUGCACGAUAAGUUCCAUAAGUCAAUAAAAUAUGCGUUUUAAACUGAUUCAGUUGUUUUACAGGAUGUUUUCUUUUUUUGCAGGUAUGAUUCUGUCGCUUUUGACAGAAUCAGAUCUAUUUUGUCGCUUUGACCUCGAUAGAUCAAGGAUCAUUUUGUCGCUUUGGCCUUAAUGAUCCUAACCCAUCAUUCUGAUUAUUUGCAUUGAUGGGUUAACCGUCAUUGCGAACAUAAAGUCGCUCUUGAUCAGGGUUGACUAUAAACAUUAGUUUUAUCGCUUUGGCUAGAACUAGAUUCUGCCGCUUUGGCCAGAAUCAUAUCUAUUUUGUCGCUUUGGCCUUAAUAGAUCAAGGUCCAUUUUGUCGCUUUGGCCUUAAUAGAUCAAGGUCCAUUUUGUCGCUUUGGCCUUAAUGGACCAAGAAUUAUUUCGUCGUUUUGGCCUUAAUAAUUCUCUCAUCUUAUCGCUUUGGCCUUGAUGACACACCAAAUGUCGCUCUUCAUCAGAGUUAGAUUAUAAACACGUAGUUCUGUGGCCUAGAACUAGAUUUUGUCGCUUCAGCUAGAAUCAGUCCAUUUUGUCGCUUUGGCCUUAAUGGAUCUAGAAUCAUUGUAUCGCUGUGGCCACAAUGAUUCGAUCACAUCUUGUCGCUUUGGCCUUGAUGCGGAUCACACACACAACCUUGUUUGGAGGGGAUACUGACGAUAUCCGCAUGUUUCUUUUGCUCUCUUCAGGAGGGAUCGGAGUACUGGUGAGACAUUAUGCCUGAUUACGUCAGUCACUCCUAGCAACGUCCUUCAACAAGGACUAGAGUUUCGUCGCUUUAUGUCGGACCCCCGGAAGGCUCCACGGUUGUGGAACAAAGGUCGUCGUCAAGUCCUCAAGUUAACCCCGUGAGUAACCGAUUGGGCUAUCAAGUAGCCGAUUCCAGUGGUGAAUCGUCGAGUCAAGGUCGUAUUAGUCAGCACUGGUAGGCUGCCAACAAGUAACGUACACGAAUCGGCGAUUCAGGUGGGAAUCGGCUAUUCGCCACCAGAAUUGGCGAUUUGGUAGCCCAAUCGACAAUUCAUGGGGUUAACUUGAGGAUUUGACGAUGACAUUUGUUCACAACCGUGGAGCCCUCCGAGGGUCCGGCAUAAAGCGAUAGAACCUUAGUCCUUGUUGAAAGGCGUUGAUGGGAGUGACUGACGUAAUCAGACAUGUCUUACCAACAGUAAACUUAGAAAGAACAGACAAUCUUUUUAUAUAUCCUUGUUUCUAACUUGUAUUCUCAUGCAGGUAUUUCGUAAAUCUACUAAGAAAUCACGAAAAGAGACUAUAACCCCUCUUAAGCCUCUGAUCAAGAUCUUACAGAUAAUUUAUUUGUUUAUUACUGUAUUAUGUUGUAAGAACAAUUAACGUAUAGGUAAAAAAAAAUAGAUUAUAUAGCAAAUUUAGGAUACAUAUUGCCGAGUAUAACUGGGCUAGUUUUCUUGGAAAUGUCUUAUUUGACAGGAUGAAGAAAUGCCGCGACAGCAUUCUAAGUCGCAAGAGAACCAACGAGCCUUCCAAAGUCUACAUGAAUGAAUGGUUGUGUAGUAUGUUUAAUGGUAAAUUUUGAAUAUUUAUUUUUACUAUUUAAAUUCAUUUAAUGAAUAUGUAUCCAUUUAGGUAUGACUUUUCAAACAUCCUUUUGUUGCUAGCCCAAAAGAAGAAAUUGUGGCUAACGAACCCUAUUUUAAGAAAAAAUGGGAUGGAAAAUUAACCUAUUUGAAAUAGAAGCUUCUCACUGAUUCGGAGGUAAUUUUAUUCCUGAAGAUUUGUCAUAAAAAGUGUUUUAAUUGUGUGUUAAAAUAAGCAUUGAGUAUGAUUUAACAAAUUCCUCCAGCUUGGAUUUCGUCAUUUGCAUUGAGACAACACUGUAGCCUGUAGCUGUAGGUAAUAAUGAAGUAAAUGAACGUAAUAAAUUAAGAUCUGAUAAUUUUUGUAUCUCUCAUUAUAGACUAAUUUAUGACCGGUCAGGUCUCAAAUGGAUCCGUAUUGGACCCUAACCCUAGUUACAUUACGGCAAUAACUAAAUAUUACUGAUUCAAACAAAUUAACCAAAUAAUUUAUUGAACUUACUAUACUUCUUCUUCCCUUGAGAUUUAUCAUUUGUUAUUCCGAGGUCCCGUUCUGCCGUCGAAACAUGCAUGUAAUGUGGACCUUCAGUGGGACUAGUAGCCCUUAGAGUCGGUGGGUUUUGGUUGUAGCGGCUUUGUUAAAUCACAUGGACGGUCAAAAUCUACAUCAAUCAUCGAGCCGUCGGCGAUCCGUCUCUAACUUUAAAGUUUUUUACGGCCUUUCAAAUAAAUACCCAAAAAAAUUUAUUAGAAAAUAAGCAAAAUAAUUCGAGUGAGAUUCAACAUGUCUGCAAAGCAAGUAUUCAAAAUCUCAGAAUGCCAGAUCCAGCCACAGAGUCGACCGGAUUCUUCUCCGAAGAGGUACGAAUUAUCAUCGUGGGACUUGCCGAUGAUCCCCAUCGGACCGAUCCAAAAAGGUCUCCUCUUCCAUAUCCCGUCGGAAGUCUUACCGCAGCAACUCAAUCCGAUCAUCGACAAACUCAAGAGCUCUCUCUCCAUUGUUCUCUCUCACUUCCUUCCCCUAUCCGGCCGUCUCGUCACCGAAACCGUCGAAGACGGGGGGCUCUUCACGUUUAUACGAUGCGGGAAUGAGGAUGCCGGAGCUGGGUUUCACCGAGCGGUUGCAGAUAAGAUUUCUGUUGCUGAUGUACUCAACUCCCGUUACUCUCCCACCUACGUUCGGUGAGGAAUUUGGGGUUAUUUGCAAACACGUCCCUGGAUAAUGGAUAUGAUUUUGUGAUAAUUAAUCCUUUAUUUUUAUGUAAUAAUAUGUAAUUUACAGAGAUUUCUUUCCUUACAACGGGAUGAUUAAUCACGAAGGUCAUCACCUUCCUCUGCUUGCGGUUCAGGUCACGGAGUUAAUCGACGGGAUAUUCCUCGGAUGUACGGUAAACCAUAUUCUCUGCGACGGAACUUCGUUUUGGAACUUCAUGAGGACGUGGUCCGAUGUCGUCUCCGGUAAACUCUUCUUUUCCGAUGACCAAAAAGGCCCUUUACUGAUUCAUAACACAUCAUCGCCGAUCAAGUUGCCAUUCCAGAAUCUGGAUACCCUCAUCGAUAAAUCAGAAUCUUCUGUGCCGGAUCUUCAAGAUAAAAUCUUCCAUUUCUCGCCGGCCUCUAUUGCGCGACUUAAAAAACAAGUCAAUUCUGAGAUCGUCACCGUGGACAUAGAGACUGACAAUCGGAAAAACCGGUGAUCUCAUCUCUCCUAUCCGUAUCUGCGUUAAUCUGGAGAUCGAUCACAAGAGCUCGGUGUUUACCAAAGACUGAACUGGUAAGUUUUAAACUGCUGUGUAAUUACCGGUCAAGACUGUUACCUCCACUUCCGCCGACAUACUUCGGAAACUGCAUCGGAGCAGUCUCCACCGUCCCCAUCCCUUCCGGCGAUCUUCUCGCACGAAACCUUGGACAGACGGCUUCCCUAUUACACGGCAUCGUGAGUUCGGUGAAGGAUGACGUUAUAAUACGGAAAGAAAUCGACAGAUAUGUGUCGGAACCUGUAUUUUUCACAAUCAGUGGCUUCGCAAAGAACAAUGGUAUUGUGAUGACAAGCUCACCGCGGUUUGAGGUAUACGAGUGUGAGUUUGGGUUGGGAAAGCCGGUCGGAGUAUUGAUCGGAGGUGCUAAUAUAUAUGACGGGAAGGUGACAUCUUUUCCCGGAAGAGAAGGGCAUGGGAGCAUGGAUAUGGUUAUUUGUCUCUCGCCG
Molecule: long non-coding RNA, 14037 nt
Filed under: Zostera marina
Lineage: Eukaryota; Viridiplantae; Streptophyta; Magnoliopsida; Alismatales; Zosteraceae
Description: long non-coding RNA (ZMAR_LNC000178)
Source: RNAcentral